Dendrobium catenatum is the source of this 106-nucleotide small nucleolar RNA. The record is from RefSeq and is a predicted model, not a curated record. NCBI's taxonomy places the organism in Eukaryota, Viridiplantae, Streptophyta, Magnoliopsida, Asparagales, Orchidaceae.
GAGCAUGAUGAGGAUAUUUCCAAAAGAGUUCUUUAAAUCUCUUUCAUGAUUUAUAAAUAGACUUAACAUCUAACUAGGUCAAAUAUGUGAUGUCAUUUCUAAGCUU